RNAcentral lists this non-coding RNA (81 nucleotides) under Acidovorax sp. RNAcentral describes it as "SAH sequence". It matches the Rfam family "SAH (S-adenosyl-L-homocysteine) riboswitch aptamer". Lineage: Bacteria; Pseudomonadati; Pseudomonadota; Betaproteobacteria; Burkholderiales; Comamonadaceae. The record is from RNAcentral.
GGUUCCAAGGAGCGUUGCAGCGGCCCCGCGCGGGCCGCCAGGCUUGGAGCCGACCCCACCCCGCAACGACGCUCACCUGUU